RNAcentral lists this transfer RNA (65 nucleotides) under Ptecticus tenebrifer. RNAcentral describes it as "tRNA-Ala". It matches the Rfam family "tRNA". Rfam says of the family: Transfer RNA (tRNA) molecules are approximately 80 nucleotides in length. The record is from RNAcentral. Lineage: Eukaryota; Metazoa; Arthropoda; Insecta; Diptera; Stratiomyidae.
AGGGUUGUAGUUAAUUAUAACAUUUGAUUUGCAUUCAAAAAGUACUAUUAUUUUAGUCUUCCUUA